AACCUUAUGGACCUGCGGGCGUAUACCUGCGGAGGGAUCAUUACAUUCAGUAGCCUAGCUACUUGUUUACACCCUUGUUUUUUUGCGCACUUCACUGUAUCCCUCGGCGGGCUUGCUCGCCGGUUGGACAACAUUUAUAACCUUUUUUAAUCUUCAAUCAGCGUCUGAAUUAUAUUUAAUAAUUACAACUUUCAACAACGGAUCU
Molecule: unclassified non-coding RNA, 205 nt
Filed under: soil metagenome
Description: partial contains 5.8S ribosomal RNA, internal transcribed spacer 2, and large subunit ribosomal RNA
Source: RNAcentral